Molecule: long non-coding RNA, 225 nt
Filed under: Trifolium pratense (red clover)
Lineage: Eukaryota; Viridiplantae; Streptophyta; Magnoliopsida; Fabales; Fabaceae
Description: long non-coding RNA (TPRA_LNC007363)
Source: RNAcentral
AUGGUUCGAGCAUUACACUCUUCAAUCAAAAUAAUACUAAUGUAAUUAAUUAGUAAAGACAAUGUUUAUACAAAAUAAUCAUUUAUCAAAAUGUAUAGUUUUACAAUUAAAUAUCGAAAGUCAUAAAGACCCUAUAGUCUAAAUACAACCCUUUCCCGUGUCACAAUCAGAGCGGAGCUUCACCGACGACUCGACAUCGAAUACCACAAAACCUGUCAAUCUGGA